Molecule: ribosomal RNA, 253 nt
Filed under: uncultured bacterium
Lineage: Bacteria
Description: partial 16S ribosomal RNA
Rfam family: Bacterial small subunit ribosomal RNA
Source: RNAcentral
UACGGAGGGUGCGAGCGUUGUCCGGAAUUACUGGGCGUAAAGCGUGCGCAGGCGGUUCGUUGUGUCGGCGGUGAAAGCCCCGGGCUCAACCUGGGAAUGGCCGUUGAAACUGGCGAACUGGAGUGUGGCAGAGGGGGGUGGAAUUCCGCGUGUAGCAGUGAAAUGCGUAGAGAUGCGGAGGAACACCGAUGGCGAAGGCAGCCCCCUGGGCUGACACUGACGCUCAGGCACGAAAGCGUGGGGAGCAAACAGG